UGAGGAAUAUUGGUCAAUGGGGGCAACCCUGAACCAGCCAAGUCGCGUGAAGGAUGAAGGUCUUAUGGAUUGUAAACUUCUUUUAUACAGGAAUAAAUUGGGGGACGUGUCCCCUUUUGCAUGUACUGUAUGAAUAAGGACCGGCUAACUCCGUGCCAGCAGCCGCGGUAAUACGGAGGAUCCGAGCGUUAUCCGGAUUUAUUGGGUUUAAAGGGUGCGCAGGCGGGAUGUUAAGUCGGCGGUGAAAUUUUGCAGCUCAACUGUAAAAGUGCCUUCGAUACUGGCCUCCUUGAGUGUGGAUGAAGUAGGCGGAAUUUGUGGUGUAGCGGUGAAAUGCUUAGAUAUCACGAGGAACUCCGAUUGCGCAGGCAGCUUACUAAGCCACAACUGACGCUCAUGCACGAAGGCGUGGGGAUCAAACA
RNAcentral lists this ribosomal RNA (422 nucleotides) under uncultured bacterium. RNAcentral's name for it is "bacterial SSU rRNA". It matches the Rfam family "Bacterial small subunit ribosomal RNA", at positions 355 to 774 of the family's 1533-position model. The record is from RNAcentral.